UUACCCACUCCCGGCACGGGGAGGUAGUGACGAAAAAUAACGAUACGGGACUCAUCCGAGGCCCCGUAAUCGGAAUGAGUACACUCUAAACCCUUUAACGAGGAUCANUUGGAGGGCAAGUCUGGUGCCAGCAGCCGCGGUAAUUCCAGCUCCAAUAGCGUAUAUUAAAGUUGUUGCGGUUAAAAAGCUCGUAGUCGAAUUUGUGUCUCGCGCCGCCGGUUCAUNGCUCGCGGUGUUAACUGGCGAGUCGCGAGACGUCCUGCCGGUGGGCUUAGCUCGCAAGGGCGGCCCAACUCAAUCCUGCCGCGGUGCUCUUCAUUGAGUGUCGAGGUGGGCCGGCACGUUUACUUUGAACAAAUUAGAGUGCUUAAAGCAGGCUAAAACUUCGCCUGAAUACUGUGUGCAUGGAAUAAUGGAAUAGGACCUCGGUUCUAUUUUGUUGGUUUUCGGAACUCCGAGGUAAUGAUUAAUAGGAACGGAUGGGGGCAUUCGUAUUGCGACGUUAGAGGUGAAAUUCUUGGAUCGUCGCAAGANGGACAGAAGCGAAAGCAUUUGCCAAAAACGCUUUCAUUGAUCAAGAACGAAAGUUAGAGGUUCGAAGGCGAUCAGAUACCGCCCUAGUUCUAACUAUAAACGAUGCCAGCUAGCGAUCCGUCGACGUUCCUCCGAUGACUCGACGGGCAGCUUCCGGGAAACCAAAGCUUUUGGGUUCCGGGGGAAGUAUGGUUGCAAAGCUGAAACUUAAAGGAAUUGACGGAAGGGCACCACCAGGAGUGGAGCCUGCGGCUUAAUUUGACUCAACACGGGAAACCUCACCAGGCCCGGACACCGGAAGGAUUGACAGAUUGAGAGCUCUUUCUUGAUUCGGUGGGUGGUGGUGCAUGGCCGUUCUUAGUUGGUGGAGCGAUUUGUCUGGUUAAUUCCGAUAACGAACGAGACUCUAGCCUGCUAACUAGGCGUAUUCGACAUCCUAAAGGCCCGCCGGCUCGGGG
This 992-nucleotide ribosomal RNA is filed under the name Neoglocianus maculaalba. RNAcentral describes it as "SSU rRNA". It matches the Rfam family "Eukaryotic small subunit ribosomal RNA", at positions 441 to 1394 of the family's 1831-position model. The record is from RNAcentral. Lineage: Eukaryota; Metazoa; Arthropoda; Insecta; Coleoptera; Curculionidae.